This 548-nucleotide ribosomal RNA is filed under the name uncultured Glomus. RNAcentral describes it as "SSU rRNA". It matches the Rfam family "Eukaryotic small subunit ribosomal RNA", at positions 548 to 1098 of the family's 1831-position model. The record is from RNAcentral. Lineage: Eukaryota; Fungi; Glomeromycota; Glomeromycetes; Glomerales; Glomeraceae.
UUGGAGGGCAAGUCUGGUGCCAGCAGCCGCGGUAAUUCCAGCUCCAAUAGCGUAUAUUAAAGUUGCUGCAGUUAAAAAGCUCGUAGUUGAAUUUCGGGACCAAUAUGUCGGUCGUGCCUCGGUACGUACUGGCAUCGUUGGUUUCUCCCUUCUGACGAACCAUGAUGUCAUUUAUUUGGUGUCGUGGGGAAUCAGGACUGUUACUUUGAAAAAAUUAGAGUGUUUAAAGCAGGCACACGCUUGAAUACAUUAGCAUGGAAUAAUGAAAUAGGACGUUUGAUUCUAUUUUGUUGGUUUCUAGGAUCGACGUAAUGAUUAAUAGGGAUAGUUGGGGGCAUUAGUAUUCAAUUGUCAGAGGUGAAAUUCUUGGAUUUAUUGAAGACUAACUACUGCGAAAGCAUUUGCCAAGGAUGUUUUCAUUAAUCAAGAACGAAAGUUAGGGGAUCGAAGACGAUCAGAUACCGUCGUAGUCUUAACCAUAAACUAUGCCGACUAGGGAUCGGAUGAUGUUAAUUUUUUAAUGACUCAUUCGGCACCUUACGGGAAAC